GAGUGGUGUUUGGUUUGUUACGUGUGGUUGGCUGUGGCGUUUGCAACAACUUCCAUGCUUUCAGACCUCUUCAGUUGUGCGGCAAGGCUUGUAUCGCCUUGAGCGUAUUGUGGGUUUCUGUGUUGGCUACCUAAUCAAUGGUAUCGGUUGGAUUGAUCAAUGUUUCAUUUCGUCUACCGUCGCAUUCGCGGUGUGAGAUGAACCUUGAUGCGGUCUCUUUGAUCCACCUCGUCGAAGCGCAUGCUUUGGCGUUGUGGCACAUUGAGCAUUGCUUGGUCUCUUGUAUACGGAACAUAGAGUGGGCAUGGAUCUAACGAUUCACGUUUGCCCUCAUAUUAGCGUAACGCUUCUCUUACACGACUUGCUCCACGUUUUAGCUCGUAC
This 384-nucleotide unclassified non-coding RNA is filed under the name Artemisia fragrans. RNAcentral describes it as "partial external transcribed spacer". The record is from RNAcentral. Lineage: Eukaryota; Viridiplantae; Streptophyta; Magnoliopsida; Asterales; Asteraceae.